Molecule: long non-coding RNA, 727 nt
Organism: Diceros bicornis minor
Lineage: Eukaryota; Metazoa; Chordata; Mammalia; Perissodactyla; Rhinocerotidae
Exons: 4
Source: RefSeq, a predicted model, not a curated record
UACCAGAGGAGUGGGAGACCCAUCCAAUUGGCGGGUGGGUUGAGGGGAGGAUGGCAUCAAGGAUAUCUUCCUGGAGGAGGGGCUGAUUAUUCCCAUUCUGAUUACUGGUAGAGCCUGGAUGGAACUGGAGGGAAGGAUGGUUUCCAGGACUGGUCCCCUGCCCCACUCCUCACCUCCAACAAGGCCCCUGCAGCAUCCUCCACCCAGGCCCUGUCUGCAUCCUCUCCUUCCCUCUGGUCCCAGGAAUACCGAGUCAUGAGGAAGAUCCUGCUGCUCCAGGAGGCUGCCAAGAAUUACAACCUAGAACCCGAGGGAGCGAUUUGCGGCCUGGUUCCAAGACAUGGAGUUGCUCAACGAGAAUGAGAGCUACAACCUGUCCUGCCAGCCAGAUCCCUAGACCUAGUUGGCCUGCAAAAUACGCAAGGCCAAGAAGAACCGGCCAUCAUCAAGGUCUGGGGUCAAAGACCAAGGGAAGAGGUCGUCAAGAGGUCAAGUCUAAUCUACCUAUGGAUGUGGCAGGCUUAACUAUGGAUGUUCAAACCAGACAUUGCCAGCAGAACCACAUCUCUUCACCCAUAGGUUGCCAUGAUCCUCCCUCUGGCUCCCGUGGUCAAGGUCGCUGCAGAGAUCCUUCCCUUGGACCUUGCCCACCUGAAGGGCCCAUACCCAUCAUAAAAACUCAAAGCCAUGACACUUGCCAAAUUGAGCCAAAAAUGGAAAGAUCCAG